GUCUGACGGAGCAACGCCGCCUGAGUGAUGAAGGUUUUCGGAUCGUAAAACUCUGUUGUUAGGGAAGAACAAGUACCGUUCGAAUAGGGCGGUACCUUGACGGUACCUAACCAGAAAGCCACGGCUAACUACGUGCCAGCAGCCGCGGUAAUACGUAGGUGGCAAGCGUUGUCCGGAAUUAUUGGGCGUAAAGCGCGCGCAGGCGGUUUCUUAAGUCUGAUGUGAAAGCCCCCGGCUCAACCGGGGAGGGUCAUUGGAAACUGGGGAACUUGAGUGCAGAAGAGGAGAGUGGAAUUCCACGUGUAGCGGUGAAAUGCGUAGAGAUGUGGAGGAACACCAGUGGCGAAGGCGACUCUCUGGUCUGUAACUGACGCUGAGGCGCGAAAGCGUGGGGAGCGAACAGGAUU
RNAcentral lists this ribosomal RNA (407 nucleotides) under Bacillus sp. B4. RNAcentral's name for it is "bacterial SSU rRNA". It matches the Rfam family "Bacterial small subunit ribosomal RNA", at positions 381 to 779 of the family's 1533-position model. The record is from RNAcentral. Lineage: Bacteria; Bacillati; Bacillota; Bacilli; Caryophanales; Bacillaceae.